UAUCUCUGUAGAGUCUGCAUAUCAAUAAGCGGAGGAAAAGAAACUAACAUAGGAUUCCCUCAGUAACGGCGAGUGAAGCGGGAAGAGCUCAAAUUUGAAAUCUUCAAGGUUCUACCUUGACGAAUUGUAGUUUAAAGAAGUGUUUUCUGUUGGAGUUUUGGUAAAAGUUCUUUGGAAUAGGACAUCAUAGAGGGUGAGAAUCCCGUAUUUGACCAUUACUUCCAGCGUUGUGAUACACUUUCAAAGAGUCGGAUUGUUUGGGAAUGCAGUCCAAAAUGGGUGGUAAAUUUCAUCUAAAGCUAAAUACUGGCGAGAGACCGAUAGCGAACAAGUACCGUGAGGGAAAGAUGAAAAGAACUUUGAAAAGAGAGUUAAACAGUACGUGAAAUUGUCAAAAGGGAAGCGUUUGACACCAGUGUUGUUUUUCUGAAAGUCAAUUAAAGAACUGUUUAUGCUAAGUUGUUUAGACUUUAUCAGCUAACUGUUUAGUUUUGAGCUUUUCUUUAAUGCACUUUUCAGUUAACAAGUCAACGUCAAUUUCUUUUGCUGUAAAAAAGCUUGAGGAAGGUGGCUUGAGAUUCGUCUUAAGUGUUUAUAGCCUCUUGCCUAUGCAGUCGGAGAGAUUGAGGUCUGCAGCGUAGAUCCUUCGGGGCUAAAUGCAUUUGUGCUAAGUUAUAGCAUUUUAUAGACAACUUGUUGACUAUGAUUUGUCUUGUAGCUUACUCGCUUAUGUUAUUUUACCUACGCUUAGGAUGUUGACGAUCAGCUGAGCGCG
Molecule: ribosomal RNA, 775 nt
Filed under: uncultured Neocallimastigales
Lineage: Eukaryota; Fungi; Neocallimastigomycota; Neocallimastigomycetes; Neocallimastigales
Description: partial large subunit ribosomal RNA
Rfam family: Eukaryotic large subunit ribosomal RNA
Source: RNAcentral